This 523-nucleotide ribosomal RNA is filed under the name uncultured bacterium. Its description in RNAcentral is "partial 16S ribosomal RNA". It matches the Rfam family "Bacterial small subunit ribosomal RNA", at positions 355 to 871 of the family's 1533-position model. The record is from RNAcentral.
UGGGGAAUUUUGGACAAUGGGGGAAACCCUGAUCCAGCCAUCCCGCGUGUGCGAUGAAGGCCUUCGGGUUGUAAAGCACUUUUGGCAGGAAAGAAACGUCGCGGGUUAAUACCCCGCGAAACUGACGGUACCUGCAGAAUAAGCACCGGCUAACUACGUGCCGGCAGCCGCGGUAAUACGUAGGGUGCAAGCGUUAAUCGGAAUUACUGGGCGUAAAGCGUGCGCAGGCGGUUCGGAAAGAAAGAUGUGAAAUCCCAGAGCUUAACUUUGGAACUGCAUUUUUAACUACCGGGCUAGAGUGUGUCAGAGGGAGGUGGAAUUCCGCGUGUAGCAGUGAAAUGCGUAGAUAUGCGGAGGAACACCGAUGGCGAAGGCAGCCUCCUGGGAUAACACUGACGCUCAUGCACGAAAGCGUGGGGAGCAAACAGGAUUAGAUACCCUGGUAGUCCACGCCCUAAACGAUGCCAACUAGCUGUUGGGGCCUUCGGGCCUUGGUAGCGCAGCUAACGCGUGAAGUUGACCG